ACAAGGCAUCGGUGGAUUUUGGUUGGCAAUCCGACAUAGUGCACGAGUACUCUGCAGGGUCCAAACAGCGGCAUGCUACCUGACAAUCCAUCUGCGUGAGAGCCAGGUUACAUGCUACCAAUGGAGGAGGACCGCCUACUCAUUUGGUGCCAGCAUCGUUUGCAUCAGAUAAAUCACAACAAAGAUAUGGUGACCCAAGACCCACGGUUAUAUAAGGAGGUGUAUGAAGAAACGACAGCAUAGAGGACCCAGCACAUCCCCUCACAGAUUCCAUGCCUUUCAAAAUAUUAGAACAAGAUUUCAAGGCAUUUUCCUUAAAGAACUUGCAACAUUUCAGGAGUGCGUCACCAUUUGGGUUUUCAUUUUGUACAAUACAUCACCUAACACCAAGAACGCUACAUUUUGUAAGCUAUGUUUCUUGCAUUGCCAGUAACCAAUAUUUAAAAGAAAAAAGAAUGUGUAUAUAUAAAUUGAUAUCUUAUUUGUCAUU
Molecule: long non-coding RNA, 490 nt
Organism: Engraulis encrasicolus (European anchovy)
Lineage: Eukaryota; Metazoa; Chordata; Actinopteri; Clupeiformes; Engraulidae
Exons: 3
Source: RefSeq, a predicted model, not a curated record